RNAcentral lists this long non-coding RNA (1241 nucleotides) under Zea mays. RNAcentral describes it as "long non-coding RNA (ZMAY_LNC005323)". The record is from RNAcentral. Lineage: Eukaryota; Viridiplantae; Streptophyta; Magnoliopsida; Poales; Poaceae.
UACACUACCUUUCCUAAUUAGUUAGCCAAGGAGGUCCCAUACCACCCUCGUGGUAUCAUUGUUUUCUCGAGUGGUUCUCCAUGUUCCAAUUAAUACAAUAAUCUUAUCAUGAACAAUAAUUAAGCCAACAAUAAUGUUAAAAGCAUGAUCAUAAUUCAGAUAUAAUAUUAAUCCCAAAACUAGGUAGAGCAGUAGCAAGACUACCAAAUAAUUCAUCUGUAUGCAAUGUGUAGGGUGACAAAACAAGGUAACAUAUUAGGUCCCGUCAAUUUAACCUAAGCAUGCCAUGGUGAUUAUCAAAAACAUAAACAUUAUUAGGCCAAAGAAUGUGAUCAAGGACACAACUUGCCUUUUACUUGCGAUUCCAGGUACUUCCCCAAGUUUGGGCUUCGGGUUCCUCAUGAUCUCGCUUCUACUCAUAGCAAUAUAUACAAAUAAGCAAAUAAUGGAUACAAUAACAUUACAUCAAAACAUAGGAACAAAAUGUGUAUUCAUAUUCUAUGUGUCCAUACCAGAUCUAAGGUUUAAGAACCACUAAAAUCAAAGGUAAAUGGAGGAGUUAUGAAUUAAUUAAGCUUUUUGGGAUUAUUUUUGUACUAGAAAUUGAUUUUCGGAAUUAAUUUAUAUAAAUUCAAAAAUCAUGGGACUGUGGGUUCUAAAUUUUCAAAGCUCAGGGUCUAUCUUGCAAGAAUUCGGACCUAGUUGUAACAUUCUCUGCAUAAGGAAGGAUGGUGGGUAGAUUCAAUAAGAGUAGAGGGUCUCUUUAUAAAGAUUGGCUCAGCGGGAUAGGCGGGGACGACCUGGACCAACCUGAUCAGAUUCGACGAUUGUGGUGUAGGGCGCAAAGGGGUAUCAGCUAAUUUAAUCAUGAUCUCUCUUCCCCAAAUCAACGAUCAAGAUUACAAACCGAAAAGGAUACUCUAGAGAUCUAAUCCUAGUCUCAUGCUCAACGAUCAAUGUCUCAUAUCCUACCAACUCCUUCUUCUAUCGCUGACCAAACACGGUGGUGCCUGCGCUCUCAAUGCGGUGGCGGCCAUCACCGGCACCCGCACCCUAGCGCCCUGAUGCCCGAACUCUACUGCGAAUGAGUGCUACAUGAAGCAGAUAAUAAAUCGAAAUGAAAGGAAAGGGUCUCACCAACAGCGAGGGUAGCGAUGAAGUUGUCCACGAUGCACAGAAGUUCCACGGUGGUGCCGUCGCUACGGUGAGAAAACUGGCCAGCACAGAAGGCCUCUGCAGCC